RNAcentral lists this ribosomal RNA (520 nucleotides) under uncultured Entrophospora. RNAcentral's name for it is "SSU rRNA". It matches the Rfam family "Eukaryotic small subunit ribosomal RNA", at positions 569 to 1086 of the family's 1831-position model. The record is from RNAcentral. Lineage: Eukaryota; Fungi; Glomeromycota; Glomeromycetes; Entrophosporales; Entrophosporaceae.
AGCAGCCGCGGUAAUUCCAGCUCCAAUAGCGUAUAUUAAAGUUGUUGCAGUUAAAAAGCUCGUAGUUGAAUUUCGGGAUUGGCGUGUCGGUCGUGCCUUACGGGGUAUGAACUGGCGUCGUCGAUUUCUCACCUUCUGGAGAAUCACGAUGCCCUUAAUUGGGUGUCGUGUGGAACCAGGACCUUUACCUUGAAAAAUUAGAGUGUUUAAAGCAGGCAUUUUUGCUCGAAUACAUUAGCAUGGAAUAAUAAAAUAGGACGGUUUGGUUCUAUUUUGUUGGUUUCUAGGAUCACCGUAAUGAUUAAUAGGGAUAGUUGGGGGCAUUAGUAUUCAAUUGUCAGAGGUGAAAUUCUUGGAUUUAUUGAAGACUAACUACUGCGAAAGCAUUUGCCAAGGAUGUUUUCAUUAAUCAAGAACGAAAGUUAGGGGAUCGAAGACGAUCAGAUACCGUCGUAGUCUUAACCAUAAACUAUGCCGACUAGGAAUCAGACGAUGUAAUUUUUAAUGACUCGUUUGGCAC